This is a long non-coding RNA of Myotis daubentonii (Daubenton's bat), 4833 nucleotides long. RefSeq lists it as uncharacterized. NCBI's taxonomy places the organism in Eukaryota, Metazoa, Chordata, Mammalia, Chiroptera, Vespertilionidae. The record is from RefSeq and is a predicted model, not a curated record.
CUUGUAUUUUGACAAGAAGGAUCUGUUUAAAUCUUUGUCAAAGUUGCAUUGCAUACAAUUUAAACCCAAAAAAAGGGGGAAAAAAUACAUGCUCUUGGCUUUUUAAAAGGCAAUGUUCUUGUUUUAUCUUUCAGCCCAAGAACUUGCCAGUCAAGAUGAAAAACUUCUUCUAAUGGAAUCCAGCUUGAAAGCUACUCCAGAGUAGCUAACUGAGCAAAGAGCAGAAACAGUUCGCCAAGAACAGAACAGUAGAAAACCCCAGGCAGAGCUGAAGACAGUGACAGAAAGGAUUAUUGCCUCCGAAGAAGAAAAAAAUGAUUGCAAGUUCCCAUAGGUGUCAUCCUUAUGCCAUUCUCUCUUUGGAAAGCUUCUAAAUUCAUCAUCAUGUUCAUCACAUGGGUAGCAUUAUGUCUUGGGAUGUUCUGACAAGACAGACAAUUUUGGAGAAGGUGUGCUGGACACAGUUGUGGUUCUCAACAAUUGGAUGCAUCUGCUUCCUAUUCGGAACGUGGUUCUACUUACAAUCUAAUUGUGCUACCCUACACUGCUCUAUUAUUUUCUGACUCUGAGCCUACAUUUUAGGCCAAUCAUCGAAGAGGACAGGAAGACUUGGAAAUUGAAGGCUACACGUAGACAUACUCGUCUGGUUUCAUAUGUAUAUAUGUCUGUGGAGCUGCUCCAUAUUGUGUAAGCAUGCCGUCCUAUUCUUUAGGCUUGUCCUCACAAUUUCCUGGGAUAGGUCAGAAUUAUUGUCUCCAUAUGAGGUGUGAUAUGUGUCAUCUAAUGAUAAAUGGUUGAAUGAUUUAAGUACUUAUUUUGGCUUCAAACUGACUUUGCUCCUUUCACUGGGUCUCGGGCUAUAUAGUUAGGAUAUUUUGUCCAGAUGUAUAGAUGGAGACUUUAAAGAAAACAAAAAAAUCAUUCAGACGCUACUAAGCUUAACUACUAAAAUAUCACUGUGAGUAGUGAUUAAAUGUGUAUCCACGAAGUACUAUAGUGAAUGAGAUAACAAUGUAAAGCAACUAUUACAUAUGUAAAAGCUAAAUUCAAGUUCAGAUCUCAUCUUUUCCACAUUGACUGAGUAUAUGUAAGUUUUGUUGUAAUGUCAUCCCAUUCCCUAGAAAACCAUCAAUUUAGUAACAUACACAUGUAUAUAUGCCAUCGUCACUUGGAGUUAGGUGUACCUGGACUCUUGGAAGCAGCUGUAUAUUUAAGUUUGAUGCAUACAGCUGAAGUCUUUUGAGUUUCUUAUUCUUCUCUCUAGAGAUCAGAUUGUUAAUUAGGAACUUACCUAAUCACUUCUGCUUAGCAUAGGAAAACCUUACUGCAAAGGCUAGGACAAAAGAUGGCUCCUACCUCACAACUAAAUUAAUGCGUAUUCAUCUUAAGGUGUAAAGCAUAAAAGCCAAGAUUAUAAAAAUUUAAAAAAUAUAUUUUAAAUAUCCACUAGAAAAUACUCAAGUUCAAGAUAAACUUGUUGGCUUGUGGAUCAUAGAGAAAGAUGUAGAAUCUGAAAUGAAACAAGUUAUGGUUUUCUAUGUCCUGAAAUGCAGGGCCAAGAACAUCUUAUCAGGCUUAAUGUAAUUUGCAAUAACAUUGGUUUCUGGAAGAACCAAAAACUUUAUGCAGUAAAUUAUAAUAUUUUUAAUUGGGAGGAAUAUUAAUGUAGAAGUAAAACAAAAUUCUAAGUUGAUAUCAACAGAAUAAUUUAUAUUAUCUUUUCUAUACAUCUUUGAAAUUACUGAUACAUUUGUAAGUCAGAGAUAGACCUAAUUCAGGGAAUCUUACAUUAAUUUCUGGGAUCAAAGAGUGUCUUGAAGAUUAAGCAAGCAGAAUAUUAUGCCAAUAUCUUCUUCUAAUACAGGUGGCUAUCAAAUUAAAGAUUUGUUUUAUGUUGGUUUCUAUUUAUUUUAUUUUGCUUAUAAUUCCUAUAUAAAUGUAAAUAUACCAAAAUACAUUUAAAGCCCUAUCUAAAACCAGUAACUUUUUCUGAAUUUAAAAACACAGUUAUAAUGAUUAGUUAUAAAAAUAAUAUUUAUUGUCAACAAUCGCAUACUAAGUAGUUCAGCAAAUUCUUAUUUCUAGAACAAAACAAUCACUCACUACUUUUUCUUACAUUGUCCUGAGAUUCUGCUUUAAAGUGUCCCACAAGCACCCAGGCUUAAAGAGCAACCAACGUCUGUAGGAUUUUUUGACAGGCUAUAUACUUCCUUAAGUCAUAGAUCUCAUCUAUGGAAUAAAAUGGUUCGACUAGAUCACUUCUAACAUCAGACCCCUGAGGCAUGAUCUGGCUCUAGGUCCAUUAAGGGACUCUCUUUCCUGUGAUUAAUGCAUAUAUUCAUACUCUGUUGUUAUUUUUUAUCCAGUAGAAAAUUUUAUUUGGUAUCCAAACACCAAAUUUCAUUUGGAAAUGAUAAUGUGUGUAUGCAUGUAAGUGUGUGCAUAUGAUCAAACAAAACCAUAUAAAUGUCCCCCUGGAAGAUCAAGAUUAAAAUGAAUCUCAUCUAUUGCAAACUUCCAACACAGAAUCCAGUAUUUCCUCACUCUUGCACUUCUACUCUGGACAGCAAUACCUAUGAAGGCUGGACAGAUCUCAUUUAUUAAUUAUUCAUCUCUAGCUCACAUCUCAAACUUCACCCACAUACUCUUUAUCGUUUCCCAUAACACUUCCUAAAACCUACUAUUAGUCUUUGAAAUAUCUAUUAAAGGUCAUCAGUUUCCAAAGUAAUUGUGAUUUAAUUUCCCCUAUUUUUUAAAAACAUAUUUUUUCAUUGAUUUCAGAGAGGAAGGGAGAGGGAGAGAGAGAUGGAAAUAUCAAUGAUGAGAGAGAAUCAUUGAUUGGCCGCUUCCUGCGUCCUCCCUACUGAGGAUCAAGCCGGCAACCAGGCAUGUGUUCUGUCUGUGAAUUGAACUGUGACCUCCUGGUUCAUAGGUUGAUGCUCAACCACGGGGUCACAUAGGCCUGGGUAACCCUCCCUAUUAAUAAACUCACACUGAUGUAUUAAAAUAGAUUUCUGGCAUCAUAAUUGGGCAACUGUUUAAUACCAAACAUUGACCUCCAUUUUAUAUUCCCUGUAAUGAUAAUACCCUGGCAUAUUGACGUUUUAUUCUGAAUUUUCUAUGCUAAAAUAUGAGAUUCCAAAGUGACUGAAAUGGUUUUCGUCAAGCACCUCCUGCCACAUGAGGGAAAUGGGAUAUGAACUGCUGCAUAAUUGAGUCUUGUGUGGCUUUUCUAGUCUGCCACACAAUUCUGGAGUUAUAUUAAAGAAGAAUAUGAUUUUGAUCUUGAGCAAAGUACCCCAGAAUUCCUGAGUCUAUCCUUGGUAUAUCCACUCUGACCUUCAGAAUUAUACAAAUGAAAUAAACUAAGCCUUAUUAUUAUCUAGGAAACCCAAACUGUGAUGUGUCCUUAAGCUGGAUAUGUUGUUAAGGGAACACACUUUUCUUUUCAAAGCUAGAAGUCUAAAUAAUAUUGCUCCUACGUGAAACCUGAACCCACAAUGGGCCCCUCCAAUGAGAGAACAGCCUAUCUGCCGGUGUCAUAAGGAAUGGAAACAAAGGACAAACAUCGGGUUUGCUCUUAGGCCUCAUCCUGCCAGCACCUGCCACAAGGACUUGCAGGCUAGGAUUGUUGCUCCUCAUCCCCCUGUUGUGUGAAAAAGUCACAGUUCUUCACGUGGCAAGGAAAAGCAGACAGACGCUCCUCUUGCCCUGCUGCCGGGGCUGUGGCGGACAAGAAAGAAGUUGGUGCUUCCCAGCACGGAGUUCUCACUCACUCUGAAAACUCAUCUCCUACCAACUACCAUCAGUUUCCUCCAACUUCCUUAAUUCCUGUAAUUCCUUUCGUCCUUGGAAGGUGACAGUCCCUGCAUAGUUGAUGCUGACCAAUUCCUAGACUUGGUUGUAGGGGUUUGUGGCAGGUGGAAGGAAAACAGGGGAAUGUGAGAAAUCUUGCACUUACCCUGGUGGUGAAAAGUAUUGAUUUAUAAUUUUAAAGUGAAAAAGUCUCAGUAGUUUUGAUUUGUUUUAUUAAAUGGCAGAUGAUGUACUUAUGAAAAUACUGUAUUGGUGGACUUAAAAGGCUAUGAUGUUGAAUGGAAUUUUCAUUUGCUAGUUUUAAAUAGGACUUUACCUAGUAUACUAAAAAUAUAAUUCACUCAUAAAUAUAACAAACCUAUCAAUAAAUGUUAUUAGUAAGUUAAGACAAACGUAUAAAAUAUAGAGAGACUUUUACUUCCUAAUUAGAUAUGAAAAUGUUAAAGGCCAUCUAAUUAACUUUGAAACUUGUUUCUAGAAUGUUAAGAAUAAUUGAAGAUUAAAUUGAAUAGUUUGACUAUUUUUAUCUUGUAAAAGUGAAUGAAUAUUGAUUUUCUUUAGAAAUAAGUGGAAGAGGUUUUAUUUUUGAGAAGAAAGGUAGAUUUGCUUUUUUCUUGUGGUAAAAGUCACAAAACCCAAAAUGUACCUCAUAACAAAUAUUUGAGUGCAUAAUACAGUAUAAUGAACUAUAUGCACACUGUUGAACAUCGGAUCUUCAAUCUGUUAUAUAGGCUCUUCAUUUCUAAAUUCUUUUGUUGAAAGUUCAUGUAGCCUUAGGAUUCUUUCACAUUCUUCACAUUUGUUCUUUGUAUUCACCACCGUAAUGUGGCUAAGACCUGGUACCAGGCCCCUGUGCUUGCAUUCCAAGGCUCUCAUUACUGCUGGGUAACUUGUAUUCCAGUAUUAAACGAAGACAGUGAUUGUGUUGACUCCAUAGGAUUUUAAUGAAGAUCAAAUAGGAUAAUGUGUGCAAAGUUAUAGACAAGAACUUAUAAAUAAUAAAUAGGAGAUAUCUUA